Molecule: long non-coding RNA, 410 nt
Organism: Hippocampus zosterae (dwarf seahorse)
Lineage: Eukaryota; Metazoa; Chordata; Actinopteri; Syngnathiformes; Syngnathidae
Exons: 6
Source: RefSeq, a predicted model, not a curated record
CCAAGUGACGGGAUCUUGACUGAACCUUCUGGAGACCAAGAAGGGAGUGAGAGAUCCACUUCAUCCUUACAACAGACAUCAAGUGACAGGUACCUGACUGAACCCUCUGGAAACCAAUAAUGGAGUGAGAGAUCCACUUCAUCCUUACAACAGACAUCAAGUGACAGCUACCUGACUGAACCCUCUGGAAACCAAGAAUGGAGUGAGAGAUCCACUUCAUCCUUACAACAGACACCAAAUGACAGGUACCUGACUGAACCCUCUGGAGACCAAGAAUGGAGUGAGAGAUCCACUACAUCCUUACAACAGGUUACUACUUCUUAUCAUGAUAUACUAGGUUUGAGUUUUCAGCUUUCUUUGACAAACACAGGAGAAGUUAUAAAUCAGAAACAUGGACUCUCCAUGAUUUC